This 920-nucleotide long non-coding RNA is filed under the name Ursus maritimus (polar bear). RNAcentral's name for it is "lncRNA (ENSUMAG00000022758.1)". The record is from RNAcentral. Lineage: Eukaryota; Metazoa; Chordata; Mammalia; Carnivora; Ursidae.
GAAGAUUCAGCGCACAGAAGAGGCAAAAUGAGUCAGAUCUGUUUUUCAUACCCCAAAAUGAUUUAAGGUUCCUCUGCCUCUUCCUCAGAUUCCUCCUGAGGCUCGGUGACAAAGCCACCAAAGACCUCAUCUUGGUAUCUGAAGAUAGAUACUGUGAACGUAGAACUUAUUUGCAACAGAGCCCUUAGGAUCAAGGACAAAUGCCUGCAUGAAUCUCUCAAAUCCUGGUUAUUAGAGAGCAGCCCAGUCACCUGGACCAUCACAUCAUCAUUCAGAGUGGCAUGAGCAUCAACGGGGCGAAUCUUAGUGUGGCAAUUGAAGAAGGAACUACCUUUUGGAGCAGGACAUCAUCCAGCUCAGAGAUCCCUGGACCAAAUCUGGAUGGUCACUCAAAGCUGCUUGCCCAUUCCACACGGCUGCAGUUCCUUCUGCCCAACCCAUAUCCCUGAGCCCCCUACGUGUGGAAUCUGCCAGGAUUCUAAAUCCAAAGAUGGAUUUAACUGUCAGCCUGGCAAUCUCAAGAUUUAGAGAAAAUGAAAAGAGCUUUUUUCCCCCUACUUACAAAUAAGAUCAAAGAUACCUAAGUUAAGAGGGCAAAUUAUCUGAGGUUUUCAUACCUUGUUGGAAAGAGAACUGGUACCAGCAUCCUAACUCUGGGUCUGGAGCUCUUCGGCAGUCCUCCUCCUCAUCAGUAUGACUUUCUCCUUUGGCUGGCAAGAAUAUUGUUGAGCAAGUUAAUGUUCAGAACACAUGAGUUUAAAGGAAUUUUUCACCUCAGCCAAGAUUUCUUUAGACUGAACAUCUGAAUGUGGAGCUCAGGAAAAAGCACAAGGAGAGAUGGUUGGCUUCGGUUCAUUUCCAGUGAGUCAAAAGUGCUAUAAAAAAUAGAAGGAUAGGGAUAAUUGUGCCGUGCACGUCAG